CCUUCCAUGCAUUUUUUUGUUUGUUUUUGUUUUAAUAACACUCUUCUAUGAUUGAUGUCAAAAUCAGAACUUAGUACACUUCUAUCAUCCUCCUUGGUAGGCAUGUGGAAGAACUACAUGCUAUGAUCUUUUCUUUGCUCUUUAGGUUCACUAAUUGUAUUCUGUGUCCAAUAUUUUGUUUCCGUUCUAAGAACCGGAGUUCGCUAUAGUAGUUGUUAGACUUGAAAGUUCUUUAUUACUCUUGUACACAUCUUCAUUCAUCAAAUUAGUGCAUUCAGUUACUAUUAUUGAACAUUGUACAAGAGUCGAUGUUCAGACACAAUUAUCAAUUUGUAUAUACCUUUUGCCUGUUUCAUUUUCUUUUGUUCCAGCUGUAUCCUUUUAAGUGAGGAAUACAUAUUUAUUUUUGUUUGUUUGUUUGUUCACAAUGGAAAAUUUGAGUUUCGAUGUUGGUUUUGUCAAUAACCAAUCUCUGCAAUUUUCUUUUUGCUUUGUGUCACAUUAUUAAAUCUGUGUGGUGAUCAUAGUUCUUACAGUUUGGUUGGUUGUUGGAUUGUCUAGGGAUUAUUGUUUGGGUGAUUCCAUUGUAAAUUUUGCUUCUUGAUUCUUAGAAUAUUUACUGUAGUCAAUUGAUUUAACUUUGUGAGAAAUACUUAUUCUUUUAUGUUUAUACCCAAGUAAGGAUAUAUCAUCAAUGUCUUAAUUAUCAUAUUUUUUUAUUAAUUAUUAUAAUUCACCUUUAAUGUAUAUAUGAUUAUACCUUUUUAAAACAAAUAACUCAUUAUAUUAUUCAUAGAAUAAUAAAAAUGUAGAUUUUUUUUUCUGUAUAUGCCAUGAUUUCAAUUUUUUUGAAAAAAAUAAUUAAUUGUUCUAUUUAUAUAUUAAAAAUUACAACGGGUCAAAAAUUUAAAAUUAAGUUUAUAUACAAUUAAUGUAGUACUUCAACAAAAAAAAUUUAAAAGUUUCGGGUCAGAACUUACCUAUAUACAAUGUAUAAUUUAUAUACAACAACAAACUUAUAAAUCUUUUAAUUUGGAACAUGUAAAAAUAAUUUAACCAACCAUUUUUGAAGUAUCAUAAAAAUCUUAGAUAAAAAAAAUAAAAAUACUUUAAUUUGAUCAUUUCAAAUAAAUAUUGAAAAUAUUUAUUGCAAACGACGAGUUAACUGUAAUGUUUUAUAUGAUAGAAUAAAUUAUGAUUCUUAGUUAUAACAUAUCGAAACUUUAUUUUAAAAUAUAAAAUUAUGAAUAAAACAAAAUAUAGCAUGGAUACUGAUUUAGUAAAUAGUUUACAAUAGUUGGUACAUUUGCAAGUACUUAAUUUUGUACUUUAGUACAUACUAUAUUUA
Molecule: long non-coding RNA, 1348 nt
Filed under: Capsella grandiflora
Lineage: Eukaryota; Viridiplantae; Streptophyta; Magnoliopsida; Brassicales; Brassicaceae
Description: long non-coding RNA (CGRA_LNC000515)
Source: RNAcentral